RNAcentral lists this long non-coding RNA (1277 nucleotides) under Lupinus angustifolius (narrow-leaved blue lupine). Its description in RNAcentral is "long non-coding RNA (LANG_LNC002602)". The record is from RNAcentral. Lineage: Eukaryota; Viridiplantae; Streptophyta; Magnoliopsida; Fabales; Fabaceae.
GUUGUGGUGAUGGAAAAAUACAAAUCCCAUUAUUGAAAACACCUCCUCCCCUCCUUCAACAUCUCAUUUUUUAUAACUUCUCUAGUGAUAACCUAAAUUAUCAAAAUAAUAUUCGCUUAUACAACAUGAUGUUUACUUUCAUAUCAGCAGUGCAAAACUUGACAGAUCUAUCAACAAUGGUAAAGGUCCACCAAAUAUUCGGAUACAAGGACAAUCAUGUCAUUGCAUUGGUAGCAUGUUACUGAUGCCUGUAUAAUGCACGAAGUUUGCUCAACUCUAUAUUUAUGAUACAAAAUAUGAAAUUGAAAACAUGAUGGAAGGAAUAAGGUAGAUAGUAAUUAAUUACUAUACAAAUAAUGUCAUAUUUCUAUCUAUCCAACUACUCAUUAUUGAUUUUUUGUUCAAUCUAUGAAUAUAGGAACAACAAGGUUGAUUCAAAAGUAGUUUGGUAAUUAUCACAAAUGUUGGAUGAAAAUAAUGUCUACACAAAAUCUUUCAUAAUGGCAAGGGAAAGAUUAAAAGAUGGUGUUAUUCCAAAUUUAAAGUUGAAGCUAAUUUCCGAAAUGAAUUCUAAUGGCAGAAUAAAUAACUUACCAAUGGUUUCUGAUGUGGCUGCUUUAAUAGUUGGAGAUAUUGACUCAACAUCACAAAGAGAUAUAAUUAUGGAAACACAAAGUGGUCAUUUGAAGAGAAUUGAUGAAUUACAUGUAAACUAUUUGGCAUUUCAAUAUACAUUGGUGUUUACAUUUAGAGAGAAUGGUUACAAACAUGAUGUUUGUCAUAGAGCUAGAGCUUAUUCUAACUGUAAGAGAAUGGAUCUCCUUUAGAUUGCAAACAAGGAAGAAUGCGGCUCAAACUUUGUUGCGAUCAAGAAGGCUAUUUCAUCAAUUUUUAGAAGACGCUUAUACUAUGAUGGAGUCUAAAUGAUUAUCUUUUAUCAAAAGAAACCAUUCAAAGCUAAGGGUUGAUAAAUACAGAAAUUUGAAUGCAUCUCAAACAAAUGACAAAAGUCAAGGAUCAAAUAUUGGAAAGAGGGUGAUAUUACCUUCCACAUUUGUUGGUAGUCGUAGAUACAUGGAUCAAUUAUACUUUGAUGAGAUCGUCAUCUGUAGUUCAUUGGGAUUUCAUGAUUUAUUUUUGACAAUGACAUGCAAUCCUAAUUGGCUUGAAAUUGUAAGAUUUCUUAAUCCAUGGGUAUGAAGCCACAUGAUAGGACAAAUAUCAUGUCAAGGGUUUUCAAAAUGAAGUUUGAAGAAUUACUUCAAGAUUUGAAGAAG